This 94-nucleotide small nuclear RNA is filed under the name Suricata suricatta (meerkat). The record is from RNAcentral. Lineage: Eukaryota; Metazoa; Chordata; Mammalia; Carnivora; Herpestidae.
GUGCUCACUUUGGCAGCACAUAUACUAAAAUUGGAACAAUACAGAGAUUAGCAUGGCCCCCAUGCAAGGGAAUGUAAAAUGGUGCCACCACUUU